RNAcentral lists this ribosomal RNA (452 nucleotides) under uncultured bacterium. RNAcentral describes it as "bacterial SSU rRNA". It matches the Rfam family "Bacterial small subunit ribosomal RNA", at positions 29 to 524 of the family's 1533-position model. The record is from RNAcentral.
AGCGAACGCUGGCGGCAGGCUUAACACAUGCAAGUCGAACGGGCGUAGCAAUACGUCAGUGGCAGACGGGUGAGUAACGCGUGGGAACGUACCUUUUGGUUCGGAACAACACAGGGAAACUUGUGCUAAUACCGGAUAAGCCCUUACGGGGAAAGAUUUAUCGCCGAAAGAUCGGCCCGCGUCUGAUUAGCUAGUUGGUGGGGUAAAGGCCCACCAAGGCGACGAUCAGUAGCUGGUCUGAGAGGAUGAUCAGCCACAUUGGGACUGAGACACGGCCCAAACUCCUACGGGAGGCAGCAGUGGGGAAUAUUGGACAAUGGGCGCAAGCCUGAUCCAGCCAUGCCGCGUGAGUGAUGAAGGCCCUAGGGUUGUAAAGCUCUUUUGUACGGGAAGAUAAUGACGGUACCGUAAGAAUAAGCCCCGGCUAACUUCGUGCCAGCAGCCGCGGUAAU